This 253-nucleotide ribosomal RNA is filed under the name uncultured bacterium. RNAcentral describes it as "partial 16S ribosomal RNA". It matches the Rfam family "Bacterial small subunit ribosomal RNA", at positions 524 to 776 of the family's 1533-position model. The record is from RNAcentral.
UACGUAGGGGGCAAGCGUUGUCCGGAAUCAUUGGGCGUAAAGCUCGUGUAGGCGGCUUGGUAAGUCCGUUCUGAAAGCCCGGGGCUCAACCCCGGGAGGCGGAUGGAUACUGUCAAGCUUGAGUCCGGAAGAGGCGAGUGGAAUUCCCGGUGUAGCGGUGAAAUGCGCAGAUAUCGGGAGGAACACCAAUGGCGAAGGCAGCUCGCUGGGACGUGACUGACGCUGAGACGCGAAAGCGUGGGGAGCAAACAGG